Non-coding RNA from Rhodocollybia butyracea, 100 nucleotides. NCBI's taxonomy places the organism in Eukaryota, Fungi, Basidiomycota, Agaricomycetes, Agaricales, Omphalotaceae. The record is from the annotation of a GenBank genome assembly.
GGCCAGAUAGUCUAGUGGUAAAUGACGACUUGGUAGAAUAACCUGUGAGCUCCAGUACACUUCUAUCAAGUAGGCGGGGGUUCGAUUCCCUCUCUGGCCA